GCGAACGAUGGGUGCACGCUGAACAGCUCGUAGGUGAAUACAUCGGUAGUACUUUGCGAUGACGUAAAGCUGAACUGAACAGCGAAUCGUAUACGCGAAAUGCCAUAAAUUUUAGGCACGUUGAAAAAUGAAGGGAAAAUUAUCACAGUCGUACGUAUCAAGGCAUUUUGACCUUAAAUACAACUCGCGAUACAUCGAGUUCGGAUUGCGUCACAAUAGACCAAUUUGCUUAAUAUGAAGCCAAUGUUUCCCUACGUUUAAGAGGUUUAUAGGAAACAUAUAGACGGUUGUGUGUGUAGAUAUACGAGUGUUAAUUUCUUGGCGCCCUCGUUUGAUUUUUUUUCAUUCUCUUUCUUACAAAUUUCAUUGUCUGAUAUUUCUUUUUUUUUCCCUCUGUACAGAUGAGAGCGUUGCAAAAACGUCGAUUCACGCUAGAAUACGGAAAAUAUUAUUCGCUUUUAUUUCAUUACCGUUUCGUUACGGGUUACGAACGGGGAAAAUAUUUAUAAAUAAUCGAGGAAUCUAGACGUUUAUGUUCAUAAAUCGUACGGUUAAUUACAUGCAUUUAGAACUCGUGGCACGAGGUACGAGCGCGAUCUGACAUUUGAAAAAUCGGUACGUGCGAUAAACCGUACGUGUACGUAUCUUUACACGGACGUACAAAUAUUCGCGUUAGGCCGAUCGAUCGAUCGAUCGUCGGUACAGCUGGUACGUGGAGGGAAAAAAUUUAGGCGAAAAUUAGACAUAGUCCAAGAAAAACAAAGAGCGCGACUAAUGGAUUUCAGAUUUUCAUUCUUCCCACGCGUUUGGCUGCACAUUUGUAUUAUUGUACGGGGUACGCAUAGUACCGAGUAGUUGUGCAAAGGUGAAGAUUAAAAAAAGUUUGUCUCGAGAGUGAUCGUAUAUAUAUAUGAGAACAGUGCAGAGGCUAAUUUCGGAGGAAUGACUAACUAAAUUGAGUGGGCCAGACGCGUAGGUCACAGCCUAGAAAUGAAAAAGGAACAGAUAUAUAGAAAGCUUUGUUUUAUACGUUUCGUUGAUCCGAUUGGAAAUGAAAUUUUCAUGUAAGAAAAACGCCUACCUUCAUUUCAUAGGUGUACUGUGAGUAUCGUACGCAAUACUCGUACAUCUUUGACGAGGUAUUUGAAAGAAAAAAGAAGAAAAAAUCGAAAGCAUUAUUUUCACAAGCGUAUAAAAAAAUAAAUGUACGCAGUGCGUCAUUUUCUACGCGAGGUGUAAAUGUGUAUCUACAUUUCAAUGCCACAUUGAAGACAAUACGGUACAAUUACGAUUGAGAGAAGCGAUUGUAUAUCAGGUGUGCACCGACGAGAUGGACGUGCAAUUUUUAAGAUAAAAUAAUUAUCAUCGUUAGAUUUUUAUAACGUGCAGACGUCGAGGCUAUUAAAUUGUAAAUCCUUUCGGUUUCUAAAGAGAGAACAAGAAAUUUCUCCUCUUUGUAUAUUUCCAUAAUCUCUGACGUUCAAAUAAUAUUAUACCGCGUAUCUCGUUCGCACGUUUCCACCUUGUAAUUUUUAACGGGCAUUAGUGAGUUAUGUAUAAUGCAUAGGAUGUGUAUGUAUAUCCGCAGAUAAGAUUGACGAAUAAAAUUGCACACUUGAAAUAAACCUUUCCACCGAUAAGAGACGGUCGUACCUUAAAACGAAGAUACGUAUCAGUCACCUUGAAUAAGAAUUAGAAUACCGCCAUACCAAAUAUUCACGAUUAUUUUCGUUACACGAGCUCUGCUAUGAAUAUCUCUGAAAUUGUAUUGAAAAAUUCACAACUCAUCGCCGCUACGAAAUUCUGUGAGAAAAAAAAAAAAACAAAAAAAAAAAAACUAGAAAUGAUAAUCAAGACUUUCGCAAGAUGAAUUAAAUCCCAGCUGACAUCGAAAUAAUAAUGAGGACGGCGAUGAACUAGUUCGUCUUGAAAAAAAAAAGUUUUCCUUACCAAUAUUACGUCUUUACGUUAACGAAGUGUCGCGAUCCGCAAUUUCGAUACACUCGACGUCAUCCGUAGGUGAUUGGUAACUGUAACCAUUGAAGUAUACAUAUAUGUAUAUUACACAGAAGGAAACCAUCGGUACCAUCAUUCGAGACGCGGAGGCAAAAGCUAGCUUGGAAGUCGAGGUCGACGCCUGGCGUCGUCGCGAGGCGACCUUCGUUCGAUCCAAUUCUUAUCGUAACUUCGGCGUGUGCUCGAUGCUUCGGAAAGAUAUGGCGAGAUAAAAUUGGCACGCAGUUUCUUUACAUUUUACGACUGGGAAGCGCCGCUCACAUUACGAUUCCCCCGCGUGUCUGAUUUUAUCGGAAGAAAAAUUUUUCCGAUAUUAUGUAACAGGUUGUCAUUUUUUAAAAGAUUUUAUUUCCCUCCGCUUCCGAAUAUUCGUAAUUGCCUCAGAGGGCGAGGGGGUCAGUACGACCGACCCUUGUAACUAUGACCUACGUUCACAUAUUCCAUUUAUUAGCUAAGGUCACGCGAAGUGUGCCUGAAAAAAAAAUGCUCUUCAUUUUAUUUUUUUCGCAUCGAAAAGAAGAGAACUAAAUACCAAAGGGAAUCAAUUGUUACGUUUUUUGGACUCGCAUGAGUCACGAAAUUCCACAAUCGCAAUAUAUUCUCGUCAAAACUGACGUGGUAUACACUCGUAUAGGAUUUUCGUGUAUAAAUAUUUCCUUCUAUUUCAAGUGGUACGAAUUUUUCGUCAAACAAAUUAGCCGCGACGUUAUUAUGUGUUAUUCUUCUUUUGCUCGAGAUAAAUUAUUGGCGAUACUCAUACAUAUGUGUAUAAUAUGUUCUAAGUAAUAACGGUUCACGGUGAUAUACCGACAUUAUUUGACCGCUAAGGCGAAGAAACUAUUUUUUUUUUUUCCUUCCUCUUUUAAUCGUCUCAAGAGAAUUUGUUGAAGUGAUUUUGAUAUCUUUUGAUCCGCGUAGACAUAAGCAAUUGGAGUUCGACGUCGAGAAUGUUUAACACGAAAUCAAGCUUCAGAUAUCUCCACGUCGAUUGACAUUUUAUAAACUCACGUCUGUUUCCAGCUCAAUUUGUUUACGUUGAAUUAAAUUAUACGAUCGUUGUAACAAUGAACCGUAAUUUUUAACAAUCGGUCACAGAUUAUUCGAUACAUGACUAAAAAAUUUAAAGAUGUACAAUAGCAAUUAAAAAUCGACAUCUACUUUGAUCUUACGAUAACUGAUCCUAUCGUAUGUACCUCGGAAAUGAAUAUAAUAAGUAUCGUCUGAAUCGAAAGAUAGCAUUUGAAACUAAGGACGCGCCCGAAAUUAACUUUUACAAUUCAUUAUUCUCCUUUUUCUUCUACUCCGUCGUUCGUAAAUGACAAGCUGAGUGAAAGGCGUGAGAAACAAGAAUUAAAUGCAAAGGCACCCCAACACCCUGAGCGUACAGAAAUCAACCCGGCGGUCAUUAUUCAUCUUACAUUUGCAUUACAGCGGUAUCUUCCGACGGAAAUAGAUCGACACCAGGAAACGGAUUUUACUUCCCAAUUCGUCACGUCCACGCUAUGAACUUGAAUUAUAAUUUAUGGGCACACGCAGGUGGAAACGGAUGAAUCUUUCGGAAGCGGGAACAAGGUCGGCAAAUGUACGGUGCGGAUCUGUGGCGAGGGUCACGUAAAGAAACAUAUUCCGCAAAUGGAAUGAAACGAUUGGGAGUCCGACUCUGUGACGAAUAAAAGAGCGGACAUCAUAUGAACUGUGCAAUGCGAUAAUAAUUAGACAACGAUGAUACAGUACCUGCUUCCCGGCUAUAGGUGCAGCAAUAAGAAAGAGAUUAGAAAAUUGGAUUUGUCAGGAGAAUAUAUGUAUUAAAAUUAAUCUGUUGAGUUUUGCGGUUCGUUAUAGGUACAAAUUUUAUAGCAUAAAGAUUGAAAAGAUUCGAUCUUUUUAUCUAGCCAUCUUCUUGUGCGGUAAAAGUGUGAUUAAAAUUUUAUUUAAUCAUGGGAACUUGUAAUAUACGCACACCGUCUUUUAAUCCAACAAUUAGAUACGUGAGAGGCGUUUAACUUUAUAUGAAAAACACACGCAAAUCGCGAUUAUAUAAUUUAACGACAGCGCAAAGUACCAUCGAUUUUUAUAGCUACGUACGGUUGUAUAUUAUCAUUGUUUUUUAUGAUCUAAAUCCGAAAGUACCGCAGAGUCAUUAUAUUCGCGGUUUGUCGAGGAAUACAUUUUUUCUAAAUAUCCUACAAAAUUACUGCAGUUUUUAAGUUUCAAAUUUUUCAACCAAAUAUUUUUUCAAACUCUCUCGACUACUAUUGGAUUAUCGUAUAAGAAUAAUUAUCACAGAUUUGAUGCAGAAAGUACGUCUCUACUUUCGAAUGAAAGCCAGAUCCUGACCAGAUUAGGAACUGCUCGUAAGUGGGCGUGCAAUAGAUUUUUAGCAUUAGGGGUCUUAUACCUAUCAGGAUAUUUUUGAAGUCUUCUUUAUUCAAUUAAAUCUUCUUUUUUUCUUUUACCCUUAGCAACUUCAUCCGUUAUAUCCUCCUCUUUAUUUAUAAUUCCCAAUGAUUAUACUGCACGACGAUAGUUACUAGGAGAUUUAUAAAAAUAAAAAAUCGACAGGGAAAUUGAAGUUAUAUUCCAAGAUUACAGUGAAAUUAAAUCCUACAUAACAUGAUGUUCUUGUGUAAUUGUUAACGUAAUCUGACUGCAGCAAUCAAUUCUGUGUUAUUCCAUCGUGAUAAGGCACUUGAAAAA
Molecule: long non-coding RNA, 4713 nt
Organism: Athalia rosae (coleseed sawfly)
Lineage: Eukaryota; Metazoa; Arthropoda; Insecta; Hymenoptera; Athaliidae
Exons: 2
Source: RefSeq, a predicted model, not a curated record